RNAcentral lists this ribosomal RNA (301 nucleotides) under uncultured bacterium. RNAcentral's name for it is "partial 16S ribosomal RNA". It matches the Rfam family "Bacterial small subunit ribosomal RNA", at positions 509 to 807 of the family's 1533-position model. The record is from RNAcentral.
CAGUAGCCGCGGGAAUACAGAGGGUGCGAGCGUUAAUCGGAUUUACUGGGCGUAAAGCGUGCGUAGGCGGCUUCUUAAGUCGGAUGUGAAAUCCCUGAGCUUAACUUAGGAAUUGCAUUCGAUACUGGGAAGCUAGAGUAUUGGAGAGGAUGGUAGAAUUCCAGGUGUAGCGGUGAAAUGCGUAGAGAUCUGGAGGAAUACCGAUGGCGAAGGCAGCCAUCUGGCCUAAUACUGACGCUGAGGUACGAAAGCAUGGGGAGCAAACAGGAUUAGAUACCCGCGUAGUCCCUGUCUCUUAUAC